This 540-nucleotide small RNA is filed under the name Pongo abelii (Sumatran orangutan). RNAcentral describes it as "retained intron". The record is from RNAcentral. Lineage: Eukaryota; Metazoa; Chordata; Mammalia; Primates; Hominidae.
GUCUGGGUCAUCUUGUCUGCCCGCCGCUGGCCUGGCCCCGUCUGUCUCUCUCAGCAGCUGUCUUUCUCGCGCCCACUGGCCGGUCUCUCCUCUUCCCCGCAGUUGCCUCCUUCUCUGCCUGCCUGGGUGGCCGCCAUGGGCCGGAAGCGGCUCAUCACUGAUUCCUACCCGGUUGUGAAGAGGAGGGAGGGGCCCGCUGGGCACAGCAAGGGGGAGCUGGCACCCGAGCUAGGUCUCUGAGGCGUGAGGGAGGCAGGAGGAGUGGACACGGAGGGGCCUAGAGGACGUGGGCGGAGGGGCCAAUGGAAAGGGAAAGCCAGCCUCGCCCUGAAGAGCAGCUGUCAUUGCAGGGGAGGAGCCCCAGCCCCGCGACGAGGAGGAAGCGGAGCUGGAGCUGCUGAGGCAGUUUGACCUGGCCUGGCAGUACGGGCCCUGCACCGGUGAGAACCCACCCAGCCCCACGGAGGCGCCUCUCCCAGGCAGUCCCGUCACCCACACGUCUCUGAAGUCACCCAAGCGCUUGCGUGACUCUGACCCUCA